Molecule: long non-coding RNA, 254 nt
Filed under: Homo sapiens (human)
Lineage: Eukaryota; Metazoa; Chordata; Mammalia; Primates; Hominidae
Description: HSALNT0177312
Source: RNAcentral
UGUAGUUGCCCAUGGAAGCCCAAAGAGGCACGAUGGCCAUGCCCAGGGCCACAGCCGAGGGCACAAGCGUGUAGUAGCGCUCCCAGUAGUUGGUGGAGACAAAGAGGGCGUAGAUGCCCACAGCGAGGAACAUCAUCCACUUCAUGAGCACAGGUGUGUAGAGCAGGGCGGCGAUGGGAGUCACGUUGAUGCCCAUCAGCAUUUUGCUGUCGAUGUCGGGCAGCCCCAUGUUGCCAUACUUCACCUCGCGGUAG